AUGAAAAAGUCAAACCUCCUACCAAGAUGAUUCACUUGCAGGCCAGCAACGGUUUCUUCUUUCUGAAAACUUAUUUGGAGGAGAUGGUUUGGAUGAAGCAUGCCUUACACACAGGACGACCUCUGGCAGUAUGCUUAAAAACCCUGGCAAAUCCAUCAUUUUCAGCAAAGAAGAUUUUGUCCUCCAAAACACCCAGUGAACAGAAUUUGUCAGGUAGUAAAGACUCUGGGAAGACAUGCACUAUGUCAAUUAAUACACAAGCAAUUGACCCUGAGGAGGAGUACAGACUUAGGUAAUGACUUAAAAUUAUUACACUGGAUAAAAUGUAAUAAAUAUAAACAAAGAAAUGUGAUAGUGUAGUCUUUGCUCAUGAUAACACUGCCACAUUAUUGAAAUCUUUGUUGUAGUAUUUGCAGUACAUGGAUCUAUAUUCCCUGCAUUCUAUGAAGAGGACAAAC
Molecule: non-coding RNA, 458 nt
Organism: Lepisosteus oculatus (spotted gar)
Lineage: Eukaryota; Metazoa; Chordata; Actinopteri; Semionotiformes; Lepisosteidae
Source: RefSeq, a predicted model, not a curated record